Molecule: ribosomal RNA, 428 nt
Filed under: uncultured Bacillota bacterium
Lineage: Bacteria; Bacillati; Bacillota
Description: bacterial SSU rRNA
Rfam family: Bacterial small subunit ribosomal RNA
Source: RNAcentral
AACGCGAAGAACCUUACCAGGUCUUGACAUCCUCUGACAAUCCUAGAGAUAGGACUUUCCCCUUCGGGGGACAGAGUGACAGGUGGUGCAUGGUUGUCGUCAGCUCGUGUCGUGAGAUGUUGGGUUAAGUCCCGCAACGAGCGCAACCCUUAUUCUUAGUUGCCAGCAUUAAGUUGGGCACUCUAAGGAGACUGCCGGUGACAAACCGGAGGAAGGUGGGGAUGACGUCAAAUCAUCAUGCCCCUUAUGACCUGGGCUACACACGUGCUACAAUGGAUGGUACAAAGGGCUGCAAAACCGUGAGGUCAAGCCAAUCCCAUAAAACCAUUCUCAGUUCGGAUUGUAGGCUGCAACUCGCCUACAUGAAGCCGGAAUCGCUAGUAAUCGUGGAUCAGCAUGCCACGGUGAAUACGUUCCCGGGCCUUGUA